Molecule: long non-coding RNA, 1213 nt
Filed under: Calidris pugnax (ruff)
Lineage: Eukaryota; Metazoa; Chordata; Aves; Charadriiformes; Scolopacidae
Description: lncRNA (ENSCPUG00000012283.1)
Source: RNAcentral
AUGAUAGGCACAGACAGGAUUUUUACAACCAUUAAUCUGUCUUCACUGUCAAACACAGCAGCUGCUUUAUCCUCAGCAAAAAUCUUUAGCACAGUUCUGUCGCUCAGUCUGCUGCCCCAAAGGACCUUGUUCUUCAGCCACAGCUGGAAGGACAGAUUUGCCUUUCAGAAUUCCAGGCAGCAACUUCUUUUUUUUUUUUUUUUUUUUAAAUAGUUCAUCCCUUUUUGAUAUCAGCUGCUUUUUCUCUGUGGGAAAGAUACUAUCUUCUUGACAUGCUAGAGUAAGACUGCACAUCAACGUAUGGAGAAUGGAAUGAAAGUGUAGUGUCAGCAAUGACGUUUUUGACCCAACCCACUAUUUAUAUCCCCAACAGUCAUGCAAACCUUGCCCAUUAUACACUAGGGCAUGCUGCCUCCGUGUGGCAGAAUAUGCUUCAGACAUUCUUUUCUCUUGCAUUUCACACAAUCUUGUGUGUGGCUAUGAAUUUUGGGAACAGUUUUGGAAACAGAAGGAAUAGAACCCAUAAGUUAUUUCUGUGAGAAACGGCAAUAUGGGGAUGAAAAAAAUUAAUGAAUUAUAUUGAUAACAGUGUUUUUCACACGAAUACUCACCAGGAACACACAGUAAAGUACAAAGGCUAUAUAUAUAUAUAUAUGUGCAUAUAUAUAUAAAAAGAAUGCUUUCUCAAAUGUUUAUUACACGAUGAAAGAAGACUAAUUGAAAAAAAUUCACAUCUUGGACUUGAUCAAAGGGGACUGAUUGCUCUUCAGACCUGUUAGCUAAAAGCAAGAUUGAAAGAGCAAUUUUGAAAAAUUACAUAAGACUGGAUCACAUUCUUUUUUUCAGUUCAUAACUGGUUUGGUUCAAACUUGACUAGAGGACCAUAAAAGUUGCUUUAGCAUUAGACCAGCUCUCUGAUUCAAGUAGCACUAACACUGUAUUAUGGGUACAGGGUUUUUCCCAUGACUAAAAUGGAAAUGCUUUGUGAAAUCGGUAUAUUUUCUUCCACACCACACUCAUCCCCACCCCAAAGCCCCAACCUCCACCUACUUUACCAAUGUUGUUAGAUACAAGACCUAAAGAAGAUAAAAAACAAGACAAUUACUGUUUUGCCCAUUUGUGUCUUUACAUUUCAGUCUUUACCAGCUGACCACAAUUGCAUUCCACCUCACUGUGAACAAGGUCUUCAUAUGUUAUUUCCAGACUGGAAAGA